ACAAACUCGGCGCUUCCCGCCCGGGCUCCGCCUACCGGUAUCUGCAAAACCCGCGAGCAGCAGCCUUUAUCCACCCGGAACUCGCACCGCCCUCCCCAGCACUGCGCGCCCGGAAACUGCGUCCCUCGCUCCGCCCAGGCUCCGCCUACCCGACUCUGGCUCCACCACCCGGGAGCUGCACCAGCUGCCCUUGGCUCCGCCCCGAGAACCCGCGCGGCUCCGUGUGCGCCGGCUCCUCCCCCGAAUCCUGCACGAGGGGCUGGUCCUGUCGGUCCGCCUUAGGCCCAUACCCUGGCCCAACCAGCCCGCCAUGGAGGGGGAUGUCCCCGCUGCUGCAGCCGCCCACUACCAGCCGGCCAGCCCCCCGCGGGACGCCUGUGUCUACAACAGCUGCUACUGUGAAGAAAAUAUUUGGAAGCUCUGUGAAUACAUCAAAAACCAUGAUCAAUAUCCUUUAGAAGAGUGCUACGCUGUCUUCAUAUCUAACGAGAGGAAGAUGAUACCUAUCUGGAAACAACAAGCCAGACCUGGAGAUGGACCUGUGAUCUGGGAUUACCAUGUCGUCCUGCUCCAUGUUUCAAGCGGAGGACAGAGCUUCAUUUAUGAUCUCGACACUGUCCUGCCAUUCCCCUGUCCUUUUGACACUUACGUGGAAGAUGCAUUUAAGUCUGAUGAGGACAUCCAUCCGCAGUUUAGAAGGAAAUUUCGAGUGAUCCGUGCAGAUUCGUAUUUGAAGAACUUUGCUUCUGACCGAUCUCACAUGAAGGACUCCAGCGGGAACUGGAGGGAACCUCCUCCGUCAUACCCAUGCAUCGAAACUGGAGUUUCCCACCUGUCCCUCCCAUUGAGAAACACAACCACAACUGGAAGCUGGAGGGCAAGAAUGCCCACUGAUGUAGCCUGCUGGGAUCAGAGACAGCCAGCACAACUGGUUGAGAUCUCUUCUUUGCCUUGAUGGGCAAUUGUGAAAAUGGGUUCUCAGAAUCGGAAGAAAUGUUUUUCACCAAAGGAGAGCAGAAUGCCCAAGACACAACCCAAAAUGGUGUUAAUAUAGCAUCUUAGAGGCCAAGACUUUGGGAAGGCAGGAAUCAAGUCAUUUACAUCUCUGAAUCCCAGCAUCCAAUGUGGUGCUUGCUCCCUAG
Suricata suricatta (meerkat) is the source of this 1142-nucleotide RNA transcript. It is a transcript of the gene named WDYHV motif containing 1, with no coding region annotated. NCBI's taxonomy places the organism in Eukaryota, Metazoa, Chordata, Mammalia, Carnivora, Herpestidae. The record is from RefSeq and is a predicted model, not a curated record. The transcript is spliced from 8 exons.